Molecule: long non-coding RNA, 342 nt
Filed under: Mytilus galloprovincialis (Mediterranean mussel)
Lineage: Eukaryota; Metazoa; Mollusca; Bivalvia; Mytilida; Mytilidae
Source: RNAcentral
AUAUAUACAAUGAAGAUAUUGCAAUGUAAAUUAUGCAUACAUGUUGUUAAGCUCACUACAUAUGACAAUGUAGAUAUUGAGCGUUUGGUGCUGUUAAAAUGAGGAGAAAUAAUUUAGCAAUCGGUUGUGUAUAAGAUAUUUUUUAUUUGAUAAUUAUAAAUGUCAUUUGAUCUAUCAACAAAAAUCUAAUUCAUGUUUCGUUUUUGUUUUAUGUAUAAACAGUAUGAUUAUUCAUGUAUAUCUAUGUUUUUAAAUGUAUACCUUUAAAAUUCAUUUGUUUACCGUAAGUAUUAUUUUGUACAUCGUUUUUAUGUAAACUUUUCUUCAAAGGUACAAUAGGUG